UACGUAGGGGGCAAGCGUUGUCCGGAUUUAUUGGGCGUAAAGCGCGUGUAGGCGGCCACGCAGGUCCGUUGUGAAAACUGGAGGCUCAACCUUCAGACGUCGACGGAAACCGUGUGGCUAGAGUCCGGAAGAGGAGAGUGGAAUUCCUGGUGUAGCGGUGAAAUGCGCAGAUAUCAGGAAGAACACCAAUGGCGAAGGCAGCUCUCUGGGACGGUACUGACGCUGAGACGCGAAAGCGUGGGGAGCGAACAGG
Molecule: ribosomal RNA, 253 nt
Filed under: uncultured bacterium
Lineage: Bacteria
Description: partial 16S ribosomal RNA
Rfam family: Bacterial small subunit ribosomal RNA
Source: RNAcentral